AGUGAACGCUGGCGGUAGGCCUAACACAUGCAAGUCGAACGGCAGCACAGUAAGAGUUUGCUCUUACCGGUGGCGAGUGGCGGACGGGUGAGAUAUCCAUCGGACUCUACUUUUUCGGGGGGGAUCUCGUAGGGACACUUACGCUAAUACCGCAUACGCCCUACGGCAGAAAGCAGGGGAUCUUCGGACCUUUCGCGAUUGAAUGCGCCGAUGUCGGAUUAGCUAGUUGGCGGGGUAAAGGCCCACCAAGGCGACGCUCCGUAGCUGGUCUGAGAGGAUGAUCAGCCACACUGGAACUGAGACACGGUCCAGACUCCUACGGGAGGCAGCAGUGGGGAAUAUUGGACAAUGGGCGCAAGCCUGAUCCAGCCAUACCGCGUGUGUGAAGAAGGCCUUCGGGUUGUAAAGCCCUUUUGUUGGGAAAGAAAAGCAGCAGGUUAAUACCCCGCUGUUCUGACGGUACCCAAAGAAUAAGCACCGGCUAACUUCGUG
Molecule: ribosomal RNA, 492 nt
Filed under: uncultured bacterium
Lineage: Bacteria
Description: partial 16S ribosomal RNA
Rfam family: Bacterial small subunit ribosomal RNA
Source: RNAcentral